Molecule: long non-coding RNA, 2049 nt
Filed under: Olea europaea subsp. europaea
Lineage: Eukaryota; Viridiplantae; Streptophyta; Magnoliopsida; Lamiales; Oleaceae
Source: RNAcentral
AUUUAAAGAAGGCCUAUGACUCGAUGAAAUACGAUUUUCUCAAGAAUGUGCUUGAGGGAUUGAAGUGCCAUACUACUUUCAUUAUUUGGUUUAUGGAAUCUGUUACAUCACCUACGUACUCCAUUGCUCUCAAUGGUGGACUACAUGGUUUUUUUAAAGGAAAAAAAGGGGCUUCGGCUAGGUGACCUUCUUUGUCCUUUCUUAUUUGUCUUGUACCUUGAAUAUUUUUCUAGGAUGUUCAAGGGAGCUACCGAAAAUAGUGAAUUUAAUUUCCAUCCUAAAUGUGCUCCUCUAAAGAUUACGCACUUGGCUUUCGCAAAUGAUUUGAUGCUUUUUGCUAGAAGCGAUGCAACUUCGGUUAGUAUUUUGAUUAAUUGCUUUGCUAACUUUGGCAACAUGUCGGGGCUAAGGAUGAAUAUUGACAAGUCUAACUUGUACAUGGAGAGGGUUCAUGGCCAAAAGAUGGAGGAAAUUAUUGAGAUUGCUAACAUCCCCAGAGGUUCUAUGCCUUUAAGCUACUUGGGUAUUCCUCUUGCAAGGCAAAAGUUUGAAAAUCAACACUUAGGAUGCAUUUAUCAACAAAAUCACAGCUUAUAUUGGUGCUUGGUCUAGGGCAUCCUUAUCUUAUGUGGGAAGAAUGGAGCUUGUAAGGUUCGUGCUUCAAGGGGUUGUAUGUUUUUUGUUAUCCAUCUUUCCUAUUCCGACAACGGUUGCUUCUAGAGUCAUUUCUCUUUGUCGAAACUUUUUUUGGAGAUCUAAUAAACCAUUGGUUGCAUGGAGCAAUAUAUGCCUACCAAAGGAUGAAGGUGGACUUGGGCUUAGGGACAUCAAAAGUUGGAACUCCGCACUACUUGCGAAGACACUUUGGAAUAUUCAUUCUAAGAAAGACACCUUGUGUAUUAAAUGGGUUAAUCAAGUUUACCUUCGUGGGGUUGUAUUUGGACAUACAAGCCGAGGAAAGAGGACUCUCCUCUUUUCAAAAAACUGCUGGACAUUAGGGACAACGUUAAUCAGGCAGUAUACAAUGCCCAGGUGGCUGACAAAGAUCUGUCCAACUUGACAGGAUAUGGUAGACAGGUUGCUGUCCAGAAUCUGACCAGCUGGAUAGUUAAUGGCAGAUUCAAUAUUGCAUAUGCAUAUGAGUAUUUCAGGCCAAAAGGAACAAAGGUAAUCUGGGCUACUCCAUUUGGAAUGCAUAUGUGACACUGAAACAUGCUUUUAUCAUGUGGUUAGUAGCUAAAUCUACAUUGCUAACUAAUGACAGAUUGCAUUAUUUACAGAUCCAACUUGACAGGAAAUGGUAGAUAGGUUGCUGUCCAGAAUCUGAUUAGCUAGAUAGUUAAUGGCAGAUUCAAUAUUGCAUAUGCAUAUGAGUACUUCAGGCCGAAAGGAACAAAGGUAAUCUGGACUACCUCCAUUUGGAAUGCAUAUGUGACGCCAAAACACACUUUUAUCUUGUGAUUAACAGCUAAAUCUACAUUGCUAACUAAGGACAGAUUGCAUUAUUUACAGAUUGAUCAUAAGUGCAGCUUGUGUGAACUUAUGGAUGAGACUGUGGAGCACUUGUUCUUUGGAUAUACAUUUAGCCAAUCAGUUUGGGAUAAAAUCCGUGUGUGGGUCGGCAUUAGGAGAUCUAUGUCUAUACUUCCAAGUGUAAUGAAAUGGAUUAAAAAGGAAACUCGAGGUGCUUCUUGGCGUAGCAAGGCCAAACGUAUUGCACUUGUGACUACUAUUUAUCACAUUUGGACGGCAAGGAAUAAGAAGAUUUUUGAAGACCUUAUACCACAUGACCAUAGCAUUGUUCAACGAAUCAAAACACACGUAUACAAAGUUAUGUUUUCUUUGUAUCCGAAUGUUUAGGUUCAAUUUCAAUCCUUAGCUAUGGGGCUAUAGAUUGUAAUGGUGCACCAUUUUUUCUCCUUUGGUUUUACCCGGGAAAGCUUGGUAUAAUUGUAACUGUAAGUGCAUAUGGACUUGAUUUUGAGUUGUAAACCCGGGAAUGCCCGGUGUAUUUGUAUUUCAUUUUGAUCAAUAUUGAUUCACAUUUAC